CAGGCUAAAACUUAUUAGAAGUAUUUUAUUUACAUUAAAAAGAUUACUGUGAAAUUCAGUAUAGUUUGA
RNAcentral lists this transfer RNA (69 nucleotides) under Cyllorhynchites ursulus. RNAcentral's name for it is "tRNA-Val". Lineage: Eukaryota; Metazoa; Arthropoda; Insecta; Coleoptera; Attelabidae. The record is from RNAcentral.